AUUAUUAUUAUUAUUAUUAUUAUUAUUAUUAUUGUUAUUAUUAAAUUACUUACGAGUUUGAUUUGUCAGCAACUUCCUGCCAGCCCUCUCUCCUUGCUUUUGCAGCCUUUGCAGUGUUCACUUGCGUUUUAAUUAAACUCUGAAACUCCUGAAAUCCCUCACUCAGGAGUUCUUGCUCUGCUGCCGAAAAAUACCGAGCGCGCUCCUUCGACAUUUUCGCCGACCAAUCAGAGGGUUGCCGAUCAAUGUUUCUACUAUCGAUGCGUAGCCCCUGUUAAGCCACCCAGUGAUCUCACAUGACUUCAUCCAGCUGUACUGAUCGUCAACAACAGGUGUGUUCGGAGAACCGGGAUAGCGAGCUCAAAGUUAGCGCGAUGAUUUGGUCUUGGAUGUAGUAAGCGAGGAAAUCAACGGAGUGGACAGAAAGUGCUGAGAGGAGCCCACCGGCCUCACGCUUCACCCACAGACACGAACAGCGUGGAAUUAUUUUAUGUCAUAAGAAGAAACAUAUUCAUGUUAACACUGACCGGCCUCAGCUCCACCUUCCUCCUCCUGCUACUCUGAAGGCUUUCACUUUCACUGCUCCGCCCUAAACACAGAGGAUGCUGGGACUUGUAGUUUUUUCCUUCCGGUGUGGUCUUCCUCUUUGUUUGUUUGUUUGUGUUCAAGUCAUUUCGAUCAUGUAAACAUCAACAGAACACGUGAAGCCACACAGAGUUUGUAUGUCGAGGUGGGUAGGAGGGUUUGAGGGUUAGUCACUAUGGUCCAGCAGUCCAUUCUGAAAUUUCUCAGAGUAACAGUGUGACUAAGGAAACAAUGCUGCUCAGUUAGAAAUGGUUUGUUAGAAAUAUUAUUGUGAAUCCAGUUUCUAAUAGUUAUUGUAGGAGCCAUAUGAGUUGUUCCUUUUUUGACUAAGUGGGUUGGUUUAAAUGGACUCACUGUAUUGGUGCACGGGUGUGGGGUGUGUCUCAUGGGUGUGGUAGAUGAUAAAUGUGGUUGCACUCACCUAGUGAUGGCCAAAUGAAGCUUUCCGAAGCACUGAAGCUUGUAUUGAAAAACGGUUCAUUACUUGAAGCUUUUCAACACAGUCCUCUCCGGUGACAUCUGGUGGUGAAAACUUUGAAGAGCAGCUUGAAUCUGCAAAAUAAAACGGACUGCUCAAUUAUCACUGCUCACUCAAGAGUGGAGUUCUCUCUGAUAUUGGGCCACCGUUCCGUUGCUUUGAACAUGUAAUUGGUUUUGUUUUCUCGAUUGGGGGGCUGAAAAAAAUGUAAUGCGUAUCUGCGUAAUACAUUUUGAUCAAUAAACUUUCCCUAUUUAAACAUGCA
Astatotilapia calliptera (eastern happy) is the source of this 1328-nucleotide long non-coding RNA. The record is from Ensembl. NCBI's taxonomy places the organism in Eukaryota, Metazoa, Chordata, Actinopteri, Cichliformes, Cichlidae.